RNAcentral lists this ribosomal RNA (674 nucleotides) under Roscoffia minor. RNAcentral describes it as "partial large subunit ribosomal RNA". It matches the Rfam family "Eukaryotic large subunit ribosomal RNA", at positions 213 to 804 of the family's 3401-position model. The record is from RNAcentral. Lineage: Eukaryota; Dinophyceae; Peridiniales; Podolampadaceae.
UGAGAGUCCCGCUCGCCACCUGCAGCCCCCCGUGCACGGUGUACGUUCCAAGAGUCACGUUCCUCGGGAUUGGAGCGCAAAGUGGGUGGUAAAUUUCAUCUAAAGCUAAAUAUCAGUUCGAAACCGAUAGCAAACAAGUACCAUGAGGGAAAGAUGAAAAGGACUUUGAAAAGAGAGUUAAAAGUGCCUGAAAUUGCUGAAAGGGAAGCGAAUGGAACCAGUGCGUCUGUGCGAGAUUGUUGUGAGCUAAAGUGAUGGGGAGCAGCGGCAACGCAAGUGCUGCUGUUUUCUGUGAUCUGGUCGCCUGCGGUGAUUCUUGCCUUGUGCGUCAAUGUCUGUUUCCCAGCGAGGAAGACUCCCAUGAUCACGGCAGUCCACCUCCGGGUGGAUGAAUGUCUUGGGUGGAACCCGCUGGGACACUGAGGAUGUCUGUGUCUGGUUGCAGUGGUCGGUGCGUCUUGACACCUUGCGAAGUGGAAAGCGACCGUCCAUCUCCCUCACACAACAAACUUUGACCAAAUGGUUCCCUUCGACCCGUCUUGAAACACGGACCAAGGAGUCUAACAUAUGUGCGAGUUCACGGGCAACAAACCUGCUUGCGAAAUGAAAGUGACUGCUGGGAUGCUGCACCAGCAACCGACCAAUCNAUUGAGAGAGGUUUGAGUAUGAGCAUA